GCUCAAAUUUGAAAUCUGGCGUCUUCGGCGUCCGAGUUGUAAUUUGAAGAAGGUAUCUUUGAGGCUGGCUCUUGUCUAUGUUCCUUGGAACAGGACGUCACAGAGGGUGAGAAUCCCGUGCGAUGAGAUGCCCAGUUUCGUGUAAAGUUCCUUCGACGAGUCGAGUUGUUUGGGAAUGCAGCUCUAAGUGGGUGGUAAAUUCCAUCUAAAGCUAAAUAUUGGCGAGAGACCGAUAGCGAACAAGUACUGUGAAGGAAAGAUGAAAAGAACUUUGAAAAGAGAGUGAAAAAGUACGUGAAAUUGUUGAAAGGGAAGGGCUUGAGGUCAGACUUGGUUUACCAGGCCAGCAUCAGUUUGGACGGCAGGAUAAUAGCAUUGGAAAGUGGCACCACUUCGGUGGUGUGUUAUAGCCUUUGUUGAUACUGCCUGUCUAGACUGAGGACUGCGUCUUUGACUAGGAUGCUGGCAUAAUGACCUUAAGCCGCCC
Molecule: ribosomal RNA, 487 nt
Filed under: [Candida] sp. LCF-120
Lineage: Eukaryota; Fungi; Ascomycota; Saccharomycetes; Saccharomycetales
Description: eukaryotic LSU rRNA
Rfam family: Eukaryotic large subunit ribosomal RNA
Source: RNAcentral